This 429-nucleotide ribosomal RNA is filed under the name Actinomycetes bacterium. Its description in RNAcentral is "Actinobacteria bacterium partial 16S ribosomal RNA". It matches the Rfam family "Bacterial small subunit ribosomal RNA", at positions 355 to 776 of the family's 1533-position model. Lineage: Bacteria; Bacillati; Actinomycetota; Actinomycetes. The record is from RNAcentral.
UAGGGAAUCUUCCGCAAUGGGCGAAAGCCUGACGGAGCAACGCCGCGUGAGUGAUUAAGGUCUUCGGAUCGUAAAACUCUGUUAUUAGGGAAGAACACAUGUGCAAGUAACUAUGCACGUCUUGACGGUACCUAAUCAGAAAGCUACGGCUAACUACGUGCCAGCAGCCGCGGUAAUACGUAGGUGGCAAGCGUUAUCCGGUAUUAUUGGGCGUAAAGCGCGCGUAGGCGGUUUUUUAAGUCCGAUGUGAAAGCCCACGGCUCAACCGUGGAAGGUCAUUGGAAACUGGAAAACCUGAGUGCAGAAGAGGGAAGUGGAAUUCAAUGUGUAGCGGUGAAAUGCGCAGAGAUAUGGAGGGACACCAAUGGCGAAGGCGACUUUCUGGUCUGUAACUGACGCUGAUGUGCGAAAGCGUGGGGAUCAAACAGG